This is a non-coding RNA of Hydra vulgaris (swiftwater hydra), 464 nucleotides long. Lineage: Eukaryota; Metazoa; Cnidaria; Hydrozoa; Anthoathecata; Hydridae. The record is from RefSeq and is a predicted model, not a curated record.
UAACAUUUGGUUGCUCUGCUCAUUUUUUAAAUUUGGUUGAAAAGGAUGUCUCUCCAAAGUCUAUAGUAAAGCAUAUUAUAGCAAUUCAUAAAUAUUUUUGUAAUCAUCACCAACCACAUGGUUGGUUAUUGGAAAAAGGUGGACUGAUGCCACAGCUACCUAAUGAUACUCGCUGGAACUCCCAACUAGAUUGUUUACAGACAUACAUAUCUAAUCAUUCUCUGUACGUUGACAUUAGAGUUGAGCAUAUGGAAUCCAUUGAUCCUUCGAUAGGAAGCCUAAUUGACAAUCUAUCAAUACAAAGAGAAGCAAUAAAUUUAUAUGCACAACUGAAAAUUUUGGUGUUGCGUAAGAUAAGUUGCAAGCAGACGAUACAACUUUGUCUGAAGCAGUUGAGAUUUGGCAAAGCCUCAUACAUAAUGAAAAAUUGGCUUUGUACAAAGAUGAUAUUUUAAAGAGGUUCA